UGGAGGUGAGGGUCACGCGGCACUCUGUAAAGAGAGGAGCAAAGUGUUAAGUUCUCUUUUGAUUGCAGUCGACGAGCUCCAGAGAUAGACAGCGAGAGUUUACUGAGACGUCUACAGCAGGGUGAGGAAUUUUCUCAGCUCUUUUAAGACACACAACAACAAUGUGGAGACACAGAGGACAGCUUAAAGAAUUACACAAGGACCAGCACUCCCUCUGGUUUGAUGGGAUGGUACGGUGCCAGAUUCUCUCCACUGCCCCGCAUCACUCCGUCCUGGAAGGCUUCCCACAUCCCAUCACGGGUGGUCCACGUGAUGCAGAGGUUCCACAAAGUAAGCUUUACUUUCCCUCUGUACACACUUCACUGCUUCACUUCUGACUGCUGAGAAUCAAGAUGUGCUGCCAGGUAACUGAAAUCUCAGCUCAGCAGCUACGGUGUUUCUGCUGCACUGACAUCUCCAUUUCAACCAUCCCACAGAGAAGGAGAUGAAGGAGGAGUCAGGAGGGAGCUGUCCUAUGGGACGCCUACGCUGUGGAGCAGUCUGCUGUUAUGCAUGUAAUCCCACUGGGGACAGCAUGGGAGGGGUGGAGAAUGGAGACAAGCAGAAAAAGAUAAGAGAGUUUAUCCAUUCAUACAUGCACACAGGCAGCUCCAGUCAUAUGAGCAGCAGUCUCAACUCUCUCUCUCUCUCUCUCUCUCACACACACACACACACACACACACUUAUUGUAAAUCACUUCAUCUGAGGCCAUUAUUUCCCUCGUCCAUGCAUGUAGAUGAGUCACAGGACUGAAUGAUUCAGUCUCGACCUUCUACUCUAUAAUCAAUUGCUCAAUUGCUCAUAACUUCUCAGACUGGGACAUUGUUUUAUUGAUGUCCAGCCACACCAGAGAGUCAUUC
Long non-coding RNA from Epinephelus moara (kelp grouper), 899 nucleotides. RefSeq lists it as uncharacterized. Lineage: Eukaryota; Metazoa; Chordata; Actinopteri; Perciformes; Serranidae. The transcript has 3 exons. The record is from RefSeq and is a predicted model, not a curated record.